Molecule: ribosomal RNA, 497 nt
Filed under: uncultured bacterium
Lineage: Bacteria
Description: partial 16S ribosomal RNA
Rfam family: Bacterial small subunit ribosomal RNA
Source: RNAcentral
GAUGAACGCUGGCGGCGUGCCUAAUACAUGCAAGUCGAGCGAACAGACGAGGAGCUUGCUCCUUCGACGUUAGCGGCGGACGGGUGAGUAACACGUAGGUAACCUACCUAUAAGACUGGGAUAACUUCGGGAAACCGGAGCUAAUACCGGAUAAUAUUUCGAACCGCAUGGUUCGAUAGUGAAAGAUGGCUUUGCUAUCACUUAUAGAUGGACCUGCGCCGUAUUAGCUAGUUGGUAAGGUAACGGCUUACCAAGGCAACGAUACGUAGCCGACCUGAGAGGGUGAUCGGCCACACUGGAACUGAGACACGGUCCAGACUCCUAAGGGAGGCAGCAGUAGGGAAUCUUCCGCAAUGGGCGAAAGCCUGACGGAGCAACGCCGCGUGAGUGAUGAAGGUCUUCGGAUCGUAAAACUCUGUUAUUAGGGAAGAACAAACGUGUAAGUAACUGUGCACGUCUUGACGGUACCUAAUCAGAAAGCCACGGCUAACUACGUG